UUGCCUCCAUCUACAGCGAGGUCCAGGCGAGUCGCAUCGACCACGCCCUCCCUCUCCCUACCGUGCUCAGAAACCCCUUCAAGAUCGUCGAAGGACCACCUAGUUCCGCGGCUGGCAAUCCAGAUGAAAUCGCAAAGAUUUUUCCUCAACUUUUCGGCCAGCCAUCUGCCUUGGUGGUGCCGAGCGAUUCUGACUCUAACGAUUCGCAGAAAAAGUUGAAAAUUGGUGUCGUUUUGUCGGGAGGCCAGGCACCUGGAGGGCACAAUGUCAUUUCUGGAAU
Molecule: long non-coding RNA, 280 nt
Organism: Humulus lupulus (European hop)
Lineage: Eukaryota; Viridiplantae; Streptophyta; Magnoliopsida; Rosales; Cannabaceae
Exons: 2
Source: RefSeq, a predicted model, not a curated record